Molecule: long non-coding RNA, 90 nt
Organism: Neltuma alba
Lineage: Eukaryota; Viridiplantae; Streptophyta; Magnoliopsida; Fabales; Fabaceae
Exons: 3
Source: RefSeq, a predicted model, not a curated record
GAUCUUUUUCACAAUGUAUUUACAAACAACAUCUAUAUUAUACUUUAGCUGGGCUGAAAUUGGGACUACGGUGCACUUGUAUUUCCAAUU